This 1031-nucleotide long non-coding RNA is filed under the name Aotus nancymaae (Ma's night monkey). Its description in RNAcentral is "lncRNA (ENSANAG00000038801.1)". Lineage: Eukaryota; Metazoa; Chordata; Mammalia; Primates; Aotidae. The record is from RNAcentral.
GAGUGAGGGCGUGGGUCUGGAAGCUUCCGCCAGACUGUGCGACUGUCGCUGCCUUGCCUUCCCCGCCCCCUCUCCCAUCCCCCCUUCUCUCCCCUCUGUUGCCACACUCCUUAGACAGGGACUGGGCGACCUAGAACGAAGUUCCCAUCCCAUCUUUUAAAAAGCAAAACUUAGUCUCUGUUUUGCUUUUUGUUUCAUUGCUUUUAGCUUUAAAGAGUAAGAGCUGCGCGCCCGGCUCGCUCUUGCUAAUUAGACUUCAGAUCCCCCUCCGGCCUCAGUGCUCAUUCCAGAGAAGACACCUGCUGAGAUGUCUUUUUCCCCCUCCUCCAACCAAACCACUCUAGUCCGGCCUGCGCUUUCCCGGCUUGAUGCAGGCAUGUUUUUUCUCUAUGUAAUUUUUCGUGCGACAACAAACAGCAUCAGCUGGGGUUCCCGAAGGUCAGAAAAUGGCUAUUGAUUAAUCUAUUAGAAUAGUUACCGAGAGAAAUAAAAACGACGUAAAAUAACAGGGAACCUAUAAAUAAAGAAGCCAUAACUAGCUACUUGGAGUUGUUAAACAACUUAGCAUAUGAAAAAAAUCGGAAAUGAGGCGCUGGGAAAGGAGCCGGGAUUGGCGGCGGCCUGGGUGUAGACAAAUCCUCCAAGAUUUAACUUCCGAGGAAACCGGCGGCAGAGCGGGUGGAGGAGGCGAGGAUGUGUGGCCAGUGCACGCGGAGUGCAAUGCAAGUCAGUGAUGGCCGCCUUGUUGGGAGCAGCAAGAGCCUGCCCGUUGUGGCAGGCACAUGGAACCCAAUCCCUAUUUGUCCGCUGCGGCCUGGGAGGGGAAAGCCGGCCUCACCAGAGGAAGGAGCACGAGGGGAGGAGGUCCGAGAGUAAAUAAUUGGCGAAAUAUUUGCAGAAGAUGCUGGGAUGCGGAUUUAAUUCCAGAUGAACAGUGGUGCUUCUGAUUCCCUCAGUCUGUUUCGCACCCACGAUCUCCUCUUUCCUUGUCCUAGACACACCAAAAAUAACUCAGUAAAAUAAAAAUAAAA